UGUGGAUAGUAUGUUCGGAUGUUUGACAGUGUCUUACGACAAAAGGAGUUCUAUUUUUUUCCUAUAUGGUGUUAUUAACUGUGUUGCACGAUGACAACCAAUCUGAGCAUUAGGAGUGUUAUUUGUUCAAUAUUUAGUUUUUAUGUUCAAGACCGGCAUGGAGGAGACAGUAAUUGCAUUAGUUACCAAAUGAUUAUGAUUGAG
RNAcentral lists this long non-coding RNA (204 nucleotides) under Mytilus galloprovincialis (Mediterranean mussel). Lineage: Eukaryota; Metazoa; Mollusca; Bivalvia; Mytilida; Mytilidae. The record is from RNAcentral.